Anas platyrhynchos (mallard) is the source of this 5139-nucleotide non-coding RNA. The record is from RefSeq and is a predicted model, not a curated record. Lineage: Eukaryota; Metazoa; Chordata; Aves; Anseriformes; Anatidae.
GCUCAUGAGAGUCAGAUCAAAUCCAGAGGAAGAGAAGAGGCAAGAGUCCAGCUGGGAGUCCUGCUAUUCACUGAUUCACAAUAGAAAUGUCGAUAAAAUAUGAAUCUUCUGAAGUGUAGGCAAGUCUCCAGCUUGGAAUGAAGUCGCAAAGAACCGAUCAAUGCCAACUGAAAUCCAAGGUCAAGUUGUUGUUGACUUCAGUAGAUACCAAAUCCAAAAAUGCACAGCACUACCCCAGUGUUACAGUUUGAGCAGUGUCCUGUACUCUGGUACUUAAGUUUCAAGAUUAACAGAGCCAGCUGAAAGAAAGUGAAAACUCGUUCCUGAGUAGGAACAUACUGUGCAUUAAAGGUGACAGAAGAGACCCAGAAGGAAGAGUGCAACUAUUUCAGCUUUGCCAAAGACAUCUGGGAUUAGAGUACUAAAGUGACGUGGUAUGGAGUGUCUCUAGGGCAGGGAAGAAUCCAAAGGCAAGCAUUUGAGGUAUGCGGAUGAAGAGGAUAGAAACUAUUCCUAUGGAAGAUGCUCCCCAUUGAUGACUUGACAUUAGCACUGAUCCACCAUUCAGUUGGAUAGUCCCGAAAAACUCUUCAGGAACUCAUGGAGGAUUUUUUUUUUUAUUAUUAUUUUUGAAGCCUAUCCAAAGAUUUGCUGUGAACCACACUUCCAGGAGCUGAUGUCAGCAAAUAAAGAAACGGUGGUUUUAGACUUGAGCAUCUAAAUUCUCAUUAUUCCACAGACUGGAAUUUCCUGAGUGGAGCCUGUUUCAUUACCUCUGGGAAAAAGCUGCCAGUCAGGGUUGUGACAGGAGUCAGCAGAGUUUGCCAUGAGCAACAAGGGAGCAGAAAGUUCAGCUCUUUGGGAAGACUGUUUCCUGCAGCAUCACUUCAAUAUCCACCUUCUUUUAAUUUCCGUUAAUGAAUGCAGCCGUGAUGGAAAUGUACAGAAAGAGAUGGCCCUGCAGUGAUGCAGACAGAAUAUGGUAAGGGCAAAUAGCUCUAAGGCAGCAAGAGAGGAAGUCUAUUGGGCAAAGUUGCUGUGCUAAUUCACCAUGGAGCCUAAGAUAAAGGGAGGUGGUGGUGGGGAAAGGGUAAAACUGGAAAAUUCAAAUGAGUUUAUAAAUAUUAAGGAAUGCCCAACUUACAAGGUCAAAACACACAACAAGGAAUACAAGCUACAGGAUAGUGAAUUUUAAAGCUUAAUUUUUAAUAUAUUAUGUGGGUUUGGGAUUCAAUUGGACAAGCCUUUUGUGCUAGAUUUACUGCAUUGAACAUAUGACUGAAAUACAUGUGUACUAUCUAAUAUGCUGCUUCUCUCAAAACAGUAAUUCAAGAUGAAUCUCAUUAAAAACCCUCUUUCUGAACAGACAAACAAAGUGGUAAUGUAUUUUUAAUGAGGCGAGGUGAUUUCUUGCUGUGCGAAUGUGCAGAGACCUAUAAAACUGAAGUUUUUUUUCCACCAUGUGAGGAUAAUCAUGAGUGUUUUUCAAUGCAUCAUUGUCCUAUUUACUGGUGAGACUGACCUAGUGAGCUACAUAUAAGAACUAGGACUCCUCUUCCAAUAAAAAGAUGGCAGCCAUCAGAAUUGGGGAGGAUUUCCUGAGGUUUCACCAUGCUCUGAAUAGUUUGUCAUGUAGAUUCCCAUCUGGAAAUUCAAGAUGGUGGAAGAUGCUUAUGGCACAAGGAAAAAAGUAAAGAUGCCAGAUGAUACGAACCCUCAGCAAUCUCUACAGCCAGAUGAGUCACACUCGUUGCCAUCCACAACAGCACUCUCCAAGGCCUGUGAAACAAUAAGCAAGUCUUACGAGGAGCAGCUGAGGGAGCUGGGGUUCUUCAGCCUGAAGAGGAUUCUCAGGGGUGACCUUAUCGCACUCUACAGGACCCGUGGAUCAUUAGCUCAAACCGUACCCUUGGAAGUCCUGAUCUGUCCAUUCCAAGUGGGAGAUUGUGUUUUGAUGCGAACACGGAGAGACUCGAAGCUGCAACCGGAGUGGGACGGACUGUUCCGAGUGCUCCUGACUACUGAGACAACAAGUGAUCUCAGUCAUUGUGAACUGGAUUCUGUCCGGACGAAACUCCAUGGGAAGACACGCUGCAGGAGCUGAAAUACUGCACUCCAGCUGCGAAGUGGCAGGCAGCAGCCCAUGGGGCUAGGCUGAAGUAAAACCACUACAAUACAGGCCCAAUGGGGCUGCCGGGUCCUUGGCACCAGCUGUUUUUAUCUACAGAUCCACUCUUGUUUGUCUACCUGCUAACAUAGAUGUAGCUCCACUGCUUGCCAACUGCAUGCUAAUCACCAUGACUAGUAUUUCUUGCAUAUGCUCAUUCUUUCUUUUUGUCUGCCUCUCACAAAAUCAGGCAGUGGCUGCUGCUAACUAGCACAAGGCAUUCUCUCUCUUCAGUGCCUGAGCAAUCUGUCUCUGUGGUCUUCCCAGCCUUUAUGAGCCCAAGGAUUUGGAAAAUAAAACUCAACUAAACCAAACUAAAUCAUAUUGUACAGAACAAAGCAGAGACAGAUCUUUGGCUGGACCUUACAGUUCAGAAAUACAAUAGUGUGCCUAUAACUCUGAUAUGUGAAAAAAUAAAUGCUUCUCUCAGCUGACAGUUUUUUUUUUUACUCUAGUUUUUCUUUCAAUAAAUAAUACUGAGUUAUUGUAGAUGCAUUUUCAGAUGGAGAAGAAUGAAGCAAAAUUAAGAGGUAUUGAAUAUCAAAACAUCACUUUAGCUAAGCAGCAGAAUGUUUAGAUCCUUGCUGAAAGCUUACCUGAGCUACCGGAAGCUCCUUGACUCUGCAGAAUCAUGCAAUACAUUUUAAAGCAAGUAAAAUAUUAGGCACUUCAGCUGCCAGGAAUAUCCCACCAGGAAAGAGAGAGAAUGGGGAGGAAAGUCCUUGCAUCAUUUCAGGACCUAGAAGGGUGAUGCUACAGGCAGAUGACAGUGGUACUGAUGUUGAUUUAUUUAAAUUUUCCUUCUACAAAAUUUGAUUAUAUAUCACUAAUGUUUCUCAGUAUAGCUAGCUUCUAUUCUUUUUAAUCAAAACAUAUGUCUAUAUUCAAAAGUAUUCUGAAACUGCAGUUUUGUGCAUGUUUUUGAAAAUCAUUAUGGACAAUUAUGUGUACAAAAUAUUUAAUUGCAUGUACACAUGGACAAUUUCCACCGUUUGCAUGUAAGCACACAUCCUUAAGUGUUUGUGAGAACAAUCAUAACGUUUGGACAUAAUUUAUUAGAUGGACAAUUACACAAAUCAAUUACACAAAUUCUAUAUUUGUAUUUUAAGUGUGUCCCAUAUUUUUUCUACAUUCUGUGUAAUAUUUGAUCAACCAAUUAAGAAACAUGAAGAUUAAAAUUCACGAGUUUCUGGAAGCAUGCCUCUUACACUUAAUUAGUGAUUGCUGAAGAAAAUGAUCUGAGAAACAUCAUACUGAAUAAUGGCAAAGAUCUACACAGCAAUAAAAAUGUUCUGCACAAUGUUUAAAUUCAAUUCACUGUCACUGGUAAACAAACAGGUAAAGCAAAAUACAGUAUUUUGCAUUCUGUCAGGGUUUAAUUUUAGAGUUUUAUUUACGAACACUACAACUCAAUUAAAGAAAAGAGUAAGUGUCAUAGUAGGAAGGUGUAGUAAUGCAGGUUUUUUACAGCCAUGCUGUAAUGUCUUCAGUGCAUAUUAAAUAUUUAAACAUGUAUACCAUACAUUAAAAAUCUGACAGAGCAGCAGAGGAUAAAAAUGCAGCACUCUUGGAAUAAAGAUUUCAGAUACAAUACAGGGCAUGAAAGCAAGGUAACUGAGUAACUGUGAAUCAUCCUACUAAGAUGCUGAAAAUGUUCAAAGGGUUAAGGAUGGCAAAUCACAUUUUGUUGCUAUGUGCAGCAAGGAUAAAAAUCUCCCGGAACCCCCUUUAAUAGGUGAAAGGUGGUCUGAGCCAAAACGCACAUACUGACGUCCAACCCUUCCCCAGAGAAUCAAUGAUGUUUUUUUGUGUGUGAUCAAUGUAAUAUUCCACGGCUAAAUUUAGGGAUUCUGCAUCCUAUGAAAAUGGCACCUCUCUAUGACUAAUUAGCAAUAAAAAAUGUGGUUUUCUACAGGUUUAAUUAUUUAAUCUCCAAGGUUUUGAUUAACUUAAAUCUUUUUAGGAAGGACAAAAAAGUAUAUGAAAAAAAAAUGAAUUUCUAAUGUUGUUUAUUCAGAAGGGAUUCUGUAAUUUUCCCUAGUCAGCUUGUAAGAUUACACCAUCUUUGCUGUUAACUCCCCUAACCCAAGCAACAUGCAGUGUGAGACAGACUGCUAAUAAACCCGUUUUACUGUGUCUGUGUAUUAUUUGGCUAAAUUACAAACUAUGCCUACAUAACUUCUCCUUCUUAUUUUGCAAUAUUAAAGCAUUUUUAAUAAAAGAGAUCAUAACAUUCAGAGUUUGAUUUUGAUGUGUUAGAAGAAAGCUGAAAAGUUAAAAACAGAUGUCUUUAGCCACAUUGACAAAAACUGUUUGGGGCAUAUUUUAUAAUGCAAACAGAUCUUUACACCCAGGUCCACUCACUUUUCAGAACUGGCACAGCAUUUGUUUUUACAAGUCACAGUGUCGCUUCCACCAAAGUCAGGGAGAGUUUUGUCUGAUAACAGUGGGGCCAGAUUCUACUUUUAAUAAUUCAUUUGGCACCCAGGCUGAAGUAGCUUCAGUGGGUGGGUAUUGUGCAAAGGAUGAAAUAGGAAAUAGACACUUUCACCAUAGAAACUUCCAUUGUAAACCCUGUUUUCUCAAAGCACUCUGAAUAUUCUUGCUUUCAGGCUAUUGCUUUACCCAAAAGCACAUAACAGAAAUCAUUUAAAUGAAGACUUAAAGGAAGAAACUGUCCCAAAUUUCAGGAAUAGGAGUUUGAUUCUCAGCUCUGCCACCAUACGCAACACCCUUAUGGCUCAAAUUAGAAACAUUAACAAGAGAAAUUAGCAGACAAGGAGAUUUUUGAGAUUCUUACAUUUUGUGUUACAGAGAGGAAAAUCCGGUGAAAGUCAGCUAAUGAAAACAUAGUCUGCUCUCUUCCUCAUUUUUUCCUCAACCUCAUAUCCCCCAUUUGUAAAAUGGAAAAUGUAGCUACAAUAUGGAAAUGAAAUCUUUGAUACCAUGUAUUGUUCUCAGUAGUGUGACUA